CACGUAGUUAGCCGUGACUUUCUCACAGGGUACCGUCACUGUCUUCUUCCCCUGCGACAACAGUUUACAAUCCGAAGACCUUCUUCCUGCACGCGGCGUUGCUGCGUCAGGGUUGCCCCCAUUGCACAAUAUUCCCCACUGCUGCCUCCCGUAGGAGUCUGGGCCGUGUCUCAGUCCCAAUGCGGCCGAUCAACCUCUCAGUUCGGCUACAGAUCGUCGCCUUGGUGAGCCGUUACCUCACCAACCAGCUAAUCUGACGCGAGUCCAUCCAUAAGCGAUAAAUCUUACAAAAUUCUAUGAUGCCAUAAAAUUUCAAUAUGCGGUAUUAGCCCUCGUUUCCAAGGAUUAACUCCCCUUCUUAUGGGCAGGUUACUCACGCGUUACUCGCCCGUCCGCCUACUUUCCACCCAACAGUUCCACCCCGAAGGGACUCAACAAAUGGGUUCUCGUUCGACUUGCAUGUGUUAGGCACGACCGCCACG
This 482-nucleotide ribosomal RNA is filed under the name uncultured bacterium. RNAcentral's name for it is "partial 16S ribosomal RNA". The record is from RNAcentral.